RNAcentral lists this ribosomal RNA (866 nucleotides) under uncultured bacterium. RNAcentral's name for it is "bacterial SSU rRNA". It matches the Rfam family "Bacterial small subunit ribosomal RNA", at positions 28 to 907 of the family's 1533-position model. The record is from RNAcentral.
GACGAACGCUGGCGGCGCGCCUAACACAUGCAAGUCGAACGGAGCUUAGAGAGCUUGCUUUUUAAGCUUAGUGGCGAACGGGUGAGUAACGCGUGAGUAACCUGCCCUAGAGUGGGGGACAACAGUUGGAAACGACUGCUAAUACCGCAUAAGCCCACGGUGCCGCAUGGCACUGAGGGAAAAGGAUUUAUUCGCUUUAGGAUGGACUCGCGUCCAAUUAGCUAGUUGGUGAGGUAACGGCCCACCAAGGCGACGAUUGGUAGCCGGACUGAGAGGUUGAACGGCCACAUUGGGACUGAGACACGGCCCAGACUCCUACGGGAGGCAGCAGUGGGGGAUAUUGCACAAUGGGGGAAACCCUGAUGCAGCGACGCCGCGUGGAGGAAGAAGGUUUUCGGAUUGUAAACUCCUGUCGUUAGGGACGAUAAUGACGGUACCUAACAAGAAAGCACCGGCUAACUACGUGCCAGCAGCCGCGGUAAAACGUAGGGUGCAAGCGUUGUCCGGAAUUACUGGGUGUAAAGGGAGCGCAGGUGGGAAGACAAGUUGGAAGUGAAAACCAUGGGCUCAACCCAUGAAUUGCUUUCAAAACUGUUUUUCUUGAGUAGUGCAGAGGUAGAUGGAAUUCCCGGUGUAGCGGUGGAAUGCGUAGAUAUCGGGAGGAACACCAGUGGCGAAGGCGGUCUACUGGGCACCAACUGACGCUGAGGCUCGAAAGCAUGGGUAGCAAACAGGAUUAGAUACCCUGGUAGUCCAUGCCGUAAACGAUGAUUACUAGGUGUUGGGGGAUUGACCCCCUCAGUGCCGCAGUUAACACAAUAAGUAAUCCACCUGGGGAGUACGACCGCAAGGUUGAAACUCAAAGG